UACGUAGGGUGCAAGCGUUGUCCGGAAUUAUUGGGCGUAAAGAACUCGUAGGCGGUUUGUCGCGUCUGCUGUGAAAACCCGAGGCUCAACCUCGGGCCUGCAGUGGGUACGGGCAAACUAGAGUGCGGUAGGGGAGAAUGGAAUUCCUGGUGUAGCGGUGGAAUGCGCAGAUAUCAGGAGGAACACCGAUGGCGAAGGCAGUUCUCUGGGCCGUAACUGACGCUGAGGAGCGAAAGCGUGGGGAGCGAACAGG
RNAcentral lists this ribosomal RNA (253 nucleotides) under uncultured bacterium. RNAcentral's name for it is "partial 16S ribosomal RNA". It matches the Rfam family "Bacterial small subunit ribosomal RNA", at positions 524 to 776 of the family's 1533-position model. The record is from RNAcentral.